This 495-nucleotide ribosomal RNA is filed under the name uncultured bacterium. Its description in RNAcentral is "partial 16S ribosomal RNA". It matches the Rfam family "Bacterial small subunit ribosomal RNA", at positions 28 to 507 of the family's 1533-position model. The record is from RNAcentral.
GAUGAACGCUGGCGGCGUGCCUAAUACAUGCCAGUAGAACGCUGAAGGAGGAGCUUGCUCUUCUGGAUGAGUUGCGAACGGGUGAGUAACGCGUAGGUAACCUGCCUGGUAGCGGGGGAUAACUAUUGGAAACGAUAGCUAAUACCGCAUGACAACAGUUAUUGCAUGAUAACUGUUUAAAAGGGGCAACUGCUCCACUACCAGAUGGACCUGCGUUGUAUUAGCUAGUUGGUGAGGUAACGGCUCACCAAGGCGACGAUACAUAGCCGACCUGAGAGGGUGAGCGGCCACACUGGGACUGUGACACGGCCCAGACGCCUACGGGAGGCAGCAGUAGGGAAACUUCAGCAAGGGACGGAAGUCUGACCGAGCAACGCCGCGUGAGGGAAGAAGGUUUUCGGAUCGUAAAGCUCUGUUGUAAGAGAAGAACGAGUGUGAGAGUGGAAAGUUCACACUGUGACGGUAUCUUACCAGAAAGGGACGGCUAACUACGUG